AGACUUACCUGGUAGGGGAGAUACCAUGAUCAGGAAGGUGGUUUCCUCAGGGCAAGGUUAAUCCAUUGCAAUCUGGAUGUGCUGACCCCUGAGAUUUCCCCAAAUGUGGGAAACUCGACCGCAUAAUUUGUGGUAGUAGGUGACUCUUAGCAGUGGAUCACUGG
Molecule: small nuclear RNA, 164 nt
Organism: Suncus etruscus (white-toothed pygmy shrew)
Lineage: Eukaryota; Metazoa; Chordata; Mammalia; Eulipotyphla; Soricidae
Product: U1 spliceosomal RNA
Exons: 1
Source: RefSeq, a predicted model, not a curated record